UGGGGAAUAUUGGACAAUGGGCGCAAGCCUGAUCCAGCCAUGCCGCGUGUGUGAAGAAGGCCUUUUGGUUGUAAAGCACUUUAAGCGAGGAGGAGGCUACUUGGAUUAAUACUCUAGGAUAGUGGACGUUACUCGCAGAAUAAGCACCGGCUAACUCUGUGCCAGCAGCCGCGGUAAUACAGAGGGUGCGAGCGUUAAUCGGAUUUACUGGGCGUAAAGCGUGCGUAGGCGGCUUUUUAAGUCGGAUGUGAAAUCCCUGAGCUUAACUUAGGAAUUGCAUUGGAUACUGGGAAGCUAGAGUAUGGGAGAGGAUGGUAGAAUUCCAGGUGUAGCGGUGAAAUGCGUAGAGAUCUGGAGGAAUACCGAUGGCGAAGGCAGCCAUCUGGCCUAAUACUGACGCUGAGGUACGAAAGCAUGGGGAGCAAACAGG
This 430-nucleotide ribosomal RNA is filed under the name Acidobacteriota bacterium. RNAcentral's name for it is "Acidobacteria bacterium partial 16S ribosomal RNA". It matches the Rfam family "Bacterial small subunit ribosomal RNA", at positions 355 to 776 of the family's 1533-position model. Lineage: Bacteria; Pseudomonadati; Acidobacteriota. The record is from RNAcentral.